ACCAAAGCUAGCCCGACCAAAUAGAUCAACAAUUCAAUUAAUAAUAUUUACAUAAAAUAAAACAUUUACUCAUAAUAAAAGUAUAGGAGAUAGAAAUUUUAACAGGCGCUAUAGAGAAAGUACCGCAAGGGAACGAGUGAAAGAACUAUUUAAAGUAAAAAACAGCAAAGAUUAUCCCUUUUACCUUUUGCAUAAUGAAUUAACUAGAAUAUUCUUAGCAAAGAGUACUACAGUUAAGUACCCCGAAACCAGACGAGCUACCCAUGAGCAGCAUAAAAGAGCAAACUCAUCUAUGUGGCAAAAUAGUGAGAAGACUUACGGGUAGAGGUGAAAAGCCUAUCGAGCCUGGUGAUAGCUGGUUGUCCGGAAAAAGAAUGUUAGUUCAACUUUAAUUUUUACAGAAAAACUUAGAAAUUCUUAUGUAAAAUUAAAUGUUAGUCCAAAGGGGUACAGCCCUUUGGACGUAGGAUUCAACCUGGACUGGAGAGUAAAAACACCCUAUUACCAUAGUUGGCCUAAAAGCAGCCACCAAUUAAGAAAGCGUUCAAGCUCAACAAACAACAAAUUUUUAAUUCCAAAAAUUUAAUCAACUCCCAGAAAAUAAACCGGACUAAUCUAUUUAUAUAUAGAAGAAAUACUGUUAGUAUGAGUAACAAGAAGUCAUUUCUCCAAGCACAAGCCUAUAUCAGAUCGGAUAUCCGCUGAUAGUUAACAACAUGACAAUUAUAACCUAUUUAUAGAACACCUGUCAAUAACACUGUUAACCCGACACAGGAGUGCUAAUUACCUAUGGAAAGAUUAAAAGAAGUAAAAGGAACUCGGCAAACAUAAACCCCGCCUGUUUACCAAAAACAUCACCUCUGGCAUUAAAAGUAUCAGAGGCACUGCCUGCCCAGUGACGUAAGUUAAACGGCCGCGGUAUCCUGACCGUGCAAAGGUAGCAUAAUCAUUUGUUCUCUAAUUAAGGACUUGUAUGAACGGCCACACGAGGGUUUUACUGUCUCUUACUUCCAAUCAGUGAAAUUGACCUUCCCGUGAAGAGGCGGGAAUACAAUAAUAAGACGAGAAGACCCUAUGGAGCUUUAAUUAAUUAACUCAAUAACUGCAGCUAUAAAUAAUCGACAGAGAUAAAAGCAUUAAGACUGAGUUAACAAUUUCGGUUGGGGUGACCUCGGAGCAUAAAAUAACCUCCGAGUGAUUUAAAGCCUAGACUUACUAGUCAAAGUCACUAAUCACAAUUGAUCCAAUGAAUUUUGAUCAACGGAACAAGUUACCCUAGGGAUAACAGCGCAAUCCUAUUUAAGAGUCCAUAUCGACAAUAGGGUUUACGACCUCGAUGUUGGAUCAGGACAUCCAAAUGGUGCAGCCGCUAUUAAUGGUUCGUUUGUUCAACGAUUAAAGUCCUACGUGAUCUGAGUUCAGACCGGAGUAAUCCAGGUCGGUUUCUAUCUAUUUUAUAUUUCUCCCAGUACGAAAGGACAAGAGAAAUAAGGCCCACUCUGCACGAGAGCCUUCAGAUUAAUAGAUGAUACCAUCUUAAUCUAAUAAUUUAUAACAAUUUUCGGCCCAAGAGAAGGGCCUC
RNAcentral lists this ribosomal RNA (1582 nucleotides) under Scaptonyx fusicauda. RNAcentral describes it as "16S ribosomal RNA". It matches the Rfam family "Bacterial large subunit ribosomal RNA". Lineage: Eukaryota; Metazoa; Chordata; Mammalia; Eulipotyphla; Talpidae. The record is from RNAcentral.